RNAcentral lists this ribosomal RNA (468 nucleotides) under uncultured bacterium. RNAcentral describes it as "partial 16S ribosomal RNA". It matches the Rfam family "Bacterial small subunit ribosomal RNA", at positions 28 to 507 of the family's 1533-position model. The record is from RNAcentral.
GACGAACGCUGGCGGCGUGCUUAACACAUGCAAGUCGAACGGAAAGGCCCUGCUUUUGUGGGGUGCUCGAGUGGCGAACGGGUGAGUAACAAGUGAGUAACCUGCCCUUUACUUUGGGAUAACUUCAGGAAACUGGGGCUAAUACCGGAUAGGAGCUCCUGCUGCAUGGUGGGGGUUGGAAAGUUUCGGCGGUUGGGGAUGGACGCGCGGCUUAUCCGCUUGUUGGUUGGGUAGUGGCUUACCAAGGCUUUGACGGGUAGCCGGCCUGAGAGGGUGACCGGCCACAUUGGGACUGAGAGACGGCCCAGACUCCUACGGGAGGCAGCAGUGGGGAAUAUUGCACAAUGGGCGGAAGCCUGAUGCAGCAACGCCGCGUGCGGGAUGACGGCCUUCGGGUUGUAAACCGCUUUCGCCUGUGACGAAGCGUGAGUGACGGUAAUGUGUAAAGAAGCACCGGCUAACUACGUG